CCUACGGGAGGCUGCAGUGGGGAAUAUUGGACAAUGGGGGCAACCCUGAUCCAGCCAUGCCGCGUGUGUGAAGAAGGCCCUCGGGUUGUAAAGCACUUUCAGUGAGGAAGAACGCCUGGUGGUUAAUACCCAUCAGGAAAGACAUCACUCACAGAAGAAGCACCGGCUAACUCCGUGCCAGCAGCCGCGGUAAUACGGAGGGUGCGAGCGUUAAUCGGAAUUACUGGGCGUAAAGCGCGCGUAGGUGGCUUGAUAAGCCGGUUGUGACAGCCCCGGGCUCAACCUGGGAACGGCAUCCGGAACUGUCAAGCUAGAGUGCAGGAGAGGAAGGUAGAAUUCCCGGUGUAGCGGUGAAAUGCGUAGAGAUCGGGAGGAAUACCAGUGGCGAAGGAGGCCUUCUGGACUGACACUGACACUGAGGUGCGAAAGCGUGGGUAGCAAACAGGAUUAGAUACCCUAGUAGUC
RNAcentral lists this ribosomal RNA (465 nucleotides) under Vreelandella stevensii. RNAcentral's name for it is "partial 16S ribosomal RNA". It matches the Rfam family "Bacterial small subunit ribosomal RNA", at positions 338 to 795 of the family's 1533-position model. Lineage: Bacteria; Pseudomonadati; Pseudomonadota; Gammaproteobacteria; Oceanospirillales; Halomonadaceae. The record is from RNAcentral.